RNAcentral lists this transfer RNA (69 nucleotides) under Marmota monax (woodchuck). RNAcentral's name for it is "tRNA.Gly". The record is from RNAcentral. Lineage: Eukaryota; Metazoa; Chordata; Mammalia; Rodentia; Sciuridae.
GGGGUUGUGGCUCAGUGGUAGAGUGCCCUCCUCCCAUGUGUGAGGCGCUUGGUUCAAUCCUCAGUACCA